Molecule: ribosomal RNA, 460 nt
Filed under: uncultured bacterium
Lineage: Bacteria
Description: partial 16S ribosomal RNA
Rfam family: Bacterial small subunit ribosomal RNA
Source: RNAcentral
CCUACGGGCGGCUGCAGUGAGGAAUAUUGGUCAAUGGGCGCGAGUCUGAACCAGCCAAGUCGCGUGAGGGAUGAAGGUUCUAUGGAUUGUAAACCUCUUUUAUAAGGGAAUAAAGUGUGGGACGUGUCCUCUUUUGUAUGUACCUUAUGAAUAAGGAUCGGCUAACUCCGUGCCAGCAGCCGCGGUAAUACGGAGGAUCCGAGCGUUAUCCGGAUUUAUUGGGUUUAAAGGGUGCGUAGGCGGCCUGUUAAGUCAGCGGUGAAAGUUUGGGGCUCAACCAGAGAAUUGCCGUUGAAACUGGGGGGCUUGAGUGUGUUUGAGGCAGGCGGAAUGCGUGGUGUAGCGGUGAAAUGCUUAGAGAUCACACAGAACCCCGAUUGCGAAGGCAGCCUGCCAAGCCAUGACUGACGCUGAUGCACGAAAGCGUGGGGAUCAAACAGGAUUAGAUACCCGAGUAGUC